GUGGGAAAGAAAAAGAGAGAGAAAAAAAAUAUUAUUUUAUUCUCACGAUUUCGCAGAGGAUUCAAGGGAGAAGCUGUGGUAGGAAUUAAGGAUGCAGAACAUUGAAGAUAUCUUGAUAUACCCAUUGAUUGAGGUUCGUGUGAUUGAAGUGGUGGAGUUGGGUAUUUGGAGUUAGCUUUGGAAUAUUAUUUUAGUUGUUGAGAUUCUAAGGAGUAGAGCUAUGCGGGUUUUGCUUGUGGGA
This is a long non-coding RNA of Camellia sinensis, 241 nucleotides long. RefSeq lists it as uncharacterized. NCBI's taxonomy places the organism in Eukaryota, Viridiplantae, Streptophyta, Magnoliopsida, Ericales, Theaceae. The record is from RefSeq and is a predicted model, not a curated record.